GACGAACGCUGGCGGCGUGCUUAACACAUGCAAGUCGAACGGGAACCUUUAUUUCGGUAAAGGUGAGAGUGGCAAACGGGUGAGUAACACGUAGGCAACCUGCCGACAGGAUGGGGACAACAUUCCGAAAGGAAUGCUAAUACCGAAUGGAGUCCGGAGAUGGCAUCGUCUCCGGAUAAAAGAUGGCCUCUGAAUAUGCUAUCGCCUGUCGAUGGGCCUGCGUCUGAUUAGCCAGUUGGCGGGGUAACGGCCCACCAAAGCGACGAUCAGUAGCCGGUCUGAGAGGAUGAACGGCCACAUUGGGACUGAGACACGGCCCAGACUCCUACGGGAGGCAGCAGUGGGGAAUCUUCCACAAUGGGCGAAAGCCUGAUGGAGCAACGCCGCGUGAGUGAAGAAGGUCUUCGGAUCGUAAAAGCUCUG
RNAcentral lists this ribosomal RNA (423 nucleotides) under Selenomonas sputigena. Its description in RNAcentral is "bacterial SSU rRNA". It matches the Rfam family "Bacterial small subunit ribosomal RNA", at positions 28 to 435 of the family's 1533-position model. The record is from RNAcentral. Lineage: Bacteria; Bacillati; Bacillota; Negativicutes; Selenomonadales; Selenomonadaceae.